GACGAACGCUGGCGGCGUGCUUAACACAUACAAGUCGAACGGUGAACCUCUUCGGGGGGGAUCAGUGGCGAACGGGUGAGUAACACGUGGGCAACCUGCCCCCGGCUCUGGGAUAACUCCAAGAAAUUGGGGCUAAUACCGGAUGUUCACCGCUUCCCGCAUGGGUGGUGGUGGAAAGGGUUUCCGGCUGGGGAUGGGCCCGCGGCCUAUCAGCUUGUUGGUGGGGUAGUGGCCUACCAAGGCGACGACGGGUAGCCGGCCUGAGAGGGUGACCGGCCACACUGGGACUGAGACACGGCCCAGACUCCUACGGGAGGCAGCAGUGGGGAAUAUUGCGCAAUGGGCGGAAGCCUGACGCAGCGACGCCGCGUGGGGGAUGACGGCCUUCGGGUUGUAAACCUCUUUCAGCAGGGACGAAGCGCAAGUGACGGUACCUGCAGAAGAAGCACCGGCCAACUACGUG
This 463-nucleotide ribosomal RNA is filed under the name uncultured bacterium. RNAcentral describes it as "partial 16S ribosomal RNA". It matches the Rfam family "Bacterial small subunit ribosomal RNA", at positions 28 to 507 of the family's 1533-position model. The record is from RNAcentral.